This 831-nucleotide ribosomal RNA is filed under the name Octotemnus japonicus. Its description in RNAcentral is "SSU rRNA". It matches the Rfam family "Eukaryotic small subunit ribosomal RNA", at positions 120 to 893 of the family's 1831-position model. The record is from RNAcentral. Lineage: Eukaryota; Metazoa; Arthropoda; Insecta; Coleoptera; Ciidae.
UUAGAUCGUACCCACACUUACUUGGAUAACUGUGGUAAUUCUAGAGCUAAUACAUGCAAACAGAGCUCCGACCGGAGACGGAAGGAGCGCUUUUAUUAGAUCAAAACCGAUCGGUGGUGGGUUCGCCCAUCAUCGUACAAUUUGGUGAAUCUGAAUAACUUUAAGCUGAUCGCACGGUCUCGCACCGGCGACGCAUCUUUCAAAUGUCUGCCUUAUCAACUGUCGAUGGUAGGUUCUGCGCCUACCAUGGUUGUAACGGGUAACGGGGAAUCAGGGUUCGAUUCCGGAGAGGGAGCCUGAGAAACGGCUACCACAUCCAAGGAAGGCAGCAGGCGCGCAAAUUACCCACUCCCGGCACGGGGAGGUAGUGACGAAAAAUAACGAUACGGGACUCAUCCGAGGCCCCGUAAUCGGAAUGAGUACACUCUAAACCCUUUAACGAGGAUCAAUUGGAGGGCAAGUCUGGUGCCAGCAGCCGCGGUAAUUCCAGCUCCAAUAGCGUAUAUUAAAGUUGUUGCGGUUAAAAAGCUCGUAGUCGAAUCUGUGUCUCGCGCCGCCGGUUCAUCGUUCGCGGUGUUAACUGGCGUGCCGCGGGACGUCCUGCCGGUGGGCUUAGCUCGCGAGGGCGGCCCAAAUCAAUCCUGCCGCGGUGCUCUUCAUUGAGUGUCGAGGUGGGCCGGCACGUUUACUUUGAACAAAUUAGAGUGCUUAAAGCAGGCUAAAUUUCGCCUGAAUACUGUGUGCAUGGAAUAAUGGAAUAGGACCUCGGUUCUAUUUUGUUGGUUUUCGGAACCCCGAGGUAAUGAUUAAUAGGAACGGAUGGGGGCAUUC